GAAGAUUGCGAGAGCAAUGUUAUGUGGUGAUUCUAUGUUGUGUGUUACAGAUUUUGUUCCGGUGGACAUGUCUAAUUUGACCCUGUACAAUUAGGCUAAGGUAUAAAUGGGAUUAGGAGAAUUGUGAGAAUAAUGUAUGUAGCUAUUUUGUGUCGUGUUCUACAAAUUUUGUCCCACUAAACACCUCGUGUGGUUCUCCUUUGAACCAAACUCUAUAUAUUUAAAGUUUGACUACAGGUGUAUACGUCUACAAGAUUAAAGAUUGUU
This 267-nucleotide long non-coding RNA is filed under the name Daucus carota (carrot). RNAcentral's name for it is "long non-coding RNA (DCAR_LNC006600)". The record is from RNAcentral. Lineage: Eukaryota; Viridiplantae; Streptophyta; Magnoliopsida; Apiales; Apiaceae.